RNAcentral lists this ribosomal RNA (496 nucleotides) under uncultured bacterium. Its description in RNAcentral is "partial 16S ribosomal RNA". It matches the Rfam family "Bacterial small subunit ribosomal RNA", at positions 29 to 507 of the family's 1533-position model. The record is from RNAcentral.
AUGAACGCUGGCGGCGUGCCUAAUCCCUGCAAGUCGAGCGAACAGAUGAGGAGCUUGCUCCUCUGACGUUAGCGGCGGACGGGUGAGUAACACGUGGAUAACCUACCUAUAAGACUGGGAUAACUUCGGGAAACCGGAGCUAAUACCGGAUAAUAUAUUGAACCGCAUGGUUCCAUAGUGAAAGACGGUUUUGCUGUCACUUAUAGAUGGAUCCGCGCCGCAUUAGCUAGUUGGUAAGGUAACGGCUUACCAAGGCAACGAUGCGUAGCCGACCUGAGAGGGUGAUCGGCCACACUGGAACUGAGACACGGUCCAGACUCCUACGGGAGGCAGCAGUAGGGAAUCUUCCGCAAUGGGCGAAAGCCUGACGGAGCAACGCCGCGUGAGUGAUGAAGGUCUUCGGAUCGUAAAACUCUGUUAUUAGGGAAGAACAAAUGUGUAAGUAACUAUGCACGUCUUGACGGUACCUAAUCAGAAAGCCACGGCUAACUACGUG